Molecule: long non-coding RNA, 848 nt
Organism: Chenopodium quinoa (quinoa)
Lineage: Eukaryota; Viridiplantae; Streptophyta; Magnoliopsida; Caryophyllales; Amaranthaceae
Exons: 2
Source: RefSeq, a predicted model, not a curated record
AAUUCUCUUAAAUUAUUAUAUAAUUUAUUUAAAAGAACAAAACGUUUUGAGAAUAGGCUUAAGAAUCACAUUCUGAUGAGCUAAAUAUAGGCCCCAAAGAAUCACAUCAUCGAAUCAAUUAAUUAAAUAUUGCCUCCAUCACAUCUUCUCCCACUAUAUAAAGGUGGGCAAGCAUGUCAUUAUUGUUUGCAAGUCAGACAGAUUACAUACAGAAGAAGGUCAUACUUGAUUAAGGAGAAUAAUAUACUCAAAAGAUGGCAGCACUCAAGAAUAUGCAGCAACAAAGGUGAUGUUCAGUAACAAUGUUCAAGCUACGCUGAGUGUUAAGCUCAUCAACGGCGAUGGAGAAGAUCCUGCACAAGUUUACGGAAGCAUAACUGGUCGCUUUGGAAUCAGUAACCAAUUUUCACUGUUUAAUAGGCCUCAAAAGUCAACGCAUUGACGUGAGGCCAGGGGAAUUCAUUCCCUUAAGCCAGCCGAGUGUGAAUGUGCCUGAAGCCGCCGAUGCAAUGGAGAUUACAGCAUACUUGAUGGAUUAUGAUACUCUUUCUCCCGACGAUGAAAUUGCAAACGGUACCGUUACGUUUCUAGUCAGAGGACCUGGUGUGGAAGAGAAGCAACCCAUCAACGGAAAGUAUGGCUCCAUCGAAGUUAACGUCACUUGGGGUUGAGCUUGUGUUGCUCAACUAAUAUAAUGCUGGUGCGGUCUUGAAUUACUAGCAAGCUAGCUAAUAUAGCUAAAUAAAACUGCCUUGCACUAGUGCUUACGUUUCCUAUGCGUUCAUGUACUACUUCAAUGUUAUUAUCUUAAUAAUACUUCGUAAUUUCAUAUGUUUUUACCUACUAAA